GAUGAACGCUGGCGGCGUGCUUAACACAUGCAAGUCGAACGGAAAGGCCCAAGCUUGCUUGGGUACUCGAGUGGCGAACGGGUGAGUAACACGUGGGUGAUCUGCCCUGCACUUCGGGAUAAGCCUGGGAAACUGGGUCUAAUACCGGAUAGGACCACAUUUUGGAUGGUGUGGUGGAAAGUUUUUCGGUGUGGGAUGAGCUCGCGGCCUAUCAGCUUGUUGGUGAGGUAAUGGCCUACCAAGGCGUCGACGGGUAGCCGGCCUGAGAGGGUGUACGGCCACAUUGGGACUGAGAUACGGCCCAGACUCCUACGGGAGGCAGCAGUGGGGAAUAUUGCACAAUGGGCGCAAGCCUGAUGCAGCGACGCCGCGUGGGGGAUGACGGCCUUCGGGUUGUAAACUCCUUUCGCUAGGGACGAAGCGUUUUUGUGACGGUACCUGGAGAAGAAGCACCGGCUAACUACGUG
This 467-nucleotide ribosomal RNA is filed under the name uncultured bacterium. RNAcentral's name for it is "partial 16S ribosomal RNA". It matches the Rfam family "Bacterial small subunit ribosomal RNA", at positions 28 to 507 of the family's 1533-position model. The record is from RNAcentral.